Oreochromis aureus is the source of this 1082-nucleotide long non-coding RNA. The record is from Ensembl. NCBI's taxonomy places the organism in Eukaryota, Metazoa, Chordata, Actinopteri, Cichliformes, Cichlidae.
GUGAAAAAGCCGAAACUAAAUCAGACAGACUGAGUGUUACAGUGAACUGUUCUCUGGUUAUAAAGAACGUCACAGUUGAGGAUGUUGGUUUUUAUUACUGUAUACAAUACAAAUCAGAAGAAGCACAUGUUCAGGAUGCUCGGGAACGUGAGGCACUGGUUGUUCUCUCUGUCAUUACUGUAACUGAACAUGAGGACACAGAUCAGGUCGUUUUAACCUGCUCUGUGUCGACAUCUGAUGAGUGUCAUCACACAGUGAAGUGGCGCAUUAAGGGUCAAUAUGUGGACAAAGGUAACAAACAAACAGUGACUGCACAAACUGACUGCUCCACCACUCUGUCCUUUCUGGAGUCUGGCAAUAUUUACCCAUCAAGAUAUAACAUAGUGUGUGAAGUAAUGGAUACUGAUACAGGAAAAGUGCAGCAGUACACCUUCAAGCAUCAGCUCUUGGCAGUUGAGGAAACAGAUUUUUCUGUAUCUUCAAGGUUCAUUAUUGUCUCUGUGGGCUUAGCAGCACUUUCAAUAGCUGCUGUGACAGUCAACACAUGGACAAGAACUAAAGGGAACAAAACACAGAUGGAUAAAGUUGCCGUGCAUUUUAAUAAAGAAGAGGAUUAUGAUUCAAUAAAAUAAUAAGCAUCCGAAUCUCUGCUGUUUCUAUCAGAUUGUGCUGAUCAACAUCAACUCAACAGAAAAACUACUGUUAUAUUAUCAGUAUCAUCUCAGCUUUAUAGGUCACACCCUUAACCCUAUAAUGCCAUUUGUAUCAUAUUUGCUACAUGAGUUUCUGAGACUGCUAUCUCAUCAACACGAUCAAUACGUGCCAUAAUUUCAAAAUGUAAUAAACAAACCUCUGUUUUUUGUCUAAAAUUAACAUCGUUGUUAAGAAAAAGUUGCCAAAAAUGUAUCAAAUGUGACGCAAAAAAUAUAUAAUAAAUAUGUCAUAAAACUAUAUCAUAAAAAACAUGAUAUAGCAAAAAAAAUGUGGAUUUUGUUAUAAGGGUUAAUAAACAUCUCAGUUCCAAAAACUCAGAAUUUUCUGGCUUUUUUUUUUUUUUUUUUGAUGAGUUGGGUCUUACAGGG